This 883-nucleotide long non-coding RNA is filed under the name Marmota monax (woodchuck). The record is from RNAcentral. Lineage: Eukaryota; Metazoa; Chordata; Mammalia; Rodentia; Sciuridae.
GAAAAGACAGGGCUUAGGAGAUACUGGUCACAGAGCUGAUAUAGGAGGCUGGGGCGGGGUGCUCCUGGGACAACAGCCUGGGGCUGAGAGGGCUCCCUCUUUCAACCCUAGGCUUCGGGAGGCACUCAUCACUACCCAAGCGGACAACCUGAUCUUGGGGGAGAAGCUGCAAAACCUGGUGAGACCCCCAGCCCAGACCCCUUUGUCUUGCCUCCUCCUUGCCUCCCAGCCCAGCUCCCGCUGCUCAGUACCCACCUGAGGCCCUGCACCCCUGUGUUCCAGCCUACUGUGUUGUACCAGACCCUGCAGAAGGAAAUGGGCCUGGGAGGAGGAAGCAGAGGUAAUCCAGGAGGAAGCCCUGCCCUGGUGGAUGGCUGAGUCCUCCCCGCCACACCCCUUUUUCUACAGCCUCCCCUCUCCCUGAAGGCAGUGCUGCUGGUCCCGCCAUCCAACCUCCCCACAGAGGAACCAGAAUCAGAGCUAGCAAGUCCUGAUGCCAAAGGCUGGGCACUUUAUCCGAAGCCACUUAAUCAUCCAGCAACUCUUUAGAUCUCAGCAAUAAACUUCCCAGCUGAAAUAACGCCACCAUGUGUCCAAGGGCCUGGGACUUGGGUGGGAGCAAGCAGCCCCCAGCUCUGAAGUGAGCCAGUGUCUGGACCACCCCCUGACUUCCUCAACCUCUUGUUCCCUGAUCUGCCCCCUACAUACAUGGCCCUGCCCUUAGACUCAGAGGUGAUGUUCCUGUGGUGAGCAUUGGGGUGGGACAGGAAGAGGGACUGCAUUUCCUCCCCAGGGAGAUCCAGGCACCUGCUUUAACUCCAAAGUGCAGAAAGAUUUGAGGAAGUGGUAGAAAGAGCCAAUACACAUCUUGUGACCUUGGAUC